UGAACUUACCGAAAUAAUAUGUGUGUGUUUUAAAACUCGUUGUUUGAUUUAAAUCCUUGGCUCGUGCAUGGUGGAUUGAGUUUGUCUGACGGCACAGGCGCUUCCUGAUUCUGAUACCUGUUGUGCUCGUAGAAGGGCGUGUGCGCGCGCAAGCUACCUGUCCAAACUUGCUUUCAGGAUCUGGAAAAAAAUGCGAGUGCAUUAUUCAAAAAACAGUUUAAGAUAAACUAAAAUCUUAAGCGAAGAGAUUAUGAUAGCUCUAAAAGACUUAACUUUAAAAUUACGCACAAAUCAGGAAAUAAUAGAUUAACAAUUUGUUCAGUUUUUCAGACACAAAAUCCAGUCGAUUUAACGUCUGUGAUAGUUCACGUUUACAAGAUAAACUAACAUGAUUUUUGUUUUCCUCUGUCAAGAUUGAAUCAGCCCUGCAUGAGGACAACACGUAAUAUUCAUGAGCAAAGAGGCCCUCUAUUGGAAGGUUAUCGAGAGAACGUCAUCACAACUAAUUAAUAUGCAUGAGGCAUUCCUUCAUUGUGACAACAGCAUUCCAAUUAUUUCAAAACAGCCCGGAGGCACACAGCACUUUAAUAAGGCAAAAGUCACCAAACACGAAACAGAUAUAAUCCAUCCAACAGGUAUCACAAGAGACAACACCUUCAUAAUAUUUCUUGUUAUGUUUUCCCAUUUCUGAUUUCAUACAUCGCCAUUUACAUAGCAUUAAAACUAUGUGACUACGGGAAAUUAAUUAUUGAAAUGCAUUUCUUUUAAAUAGUGUGUAGAAUGUCAUCUAUGAUUGAUCAUCAAAGCAUUCAAACAGAAAACCGUCCCAUUAAUGGGCUAAUGUCUCAAAAAUGAGCCCUGUGGUUACAGAUUUUGAGGAGCCUUUAAAUGACAGUUUCUCACACAUUAAAAUCUUUUCUACAAGCAAAACACUCAGCGCCAUUAUGUCAUUUUCCAAAAGGAAGACAUGUUUCUGAAAGGCAUAAAUAAUUAAUUCACAAUCUGUUUUGCACCAUAGACAAAACUGCAUUCAGUAGCCAGCACUCAAUCAAUCAGCAGAAACCUGUGGGAAUGAGAAAUACGACUUCAGGCAGUGGAUGUUGUGAUGCAGAUUUUCUGGCCUGAUUGAAAACAGAGACAAAUUGC
This is a long non-coding RNA of Cyprinus carpio (common carp), 1146 nucleotides long. The record is from Ensembl. NCBI's taxonomy places the organism in Eukaryota, Metazoa, Chordata, Actinopteri, Cypriniformes, Cyprinidae.